This 305-nucleotide unclassified non-coding RNA is filed under the name plant metagenome. Its description in RNAcentral is "partial contains 5.8S ribosomal RNA, internal transcribed spacer 2, and large subunit ribosomal RNA". The stretch from base 1 to 105 matches the Rfam family "5.8S ribosomal RNA", at positions 50 to 154 of the family's 154-position model. The record is from RNAcentral.
GAAAUGCGAUAAGUAGUGUGAAUUGCAGAAUUCAGUGAAUCAUCGAAUCUUUGAACGCACAUUGCGCCCCUUGGUAUUCCAUGGGGCAUGCCUGUUCGAGCGUCAUCUACACCCUCAAGCUCUGCUUGGUGUUGGGCGUCUGUCCCGCCCCCGCGCGUGGACUCGCCCCAAAUCCAUUGUCAGCGUUCCUUGCCCCCUCUCGCGCAGCACAUUGCGCUUCUCGAGGGCGGCUCCGGGACGCGAUCCAGCAAGAUGACCACCGUCUUUGACCUCGGAUCAGGUAGGGAUACCCGCUGAACUUAAGC